GAUGAAGAACGCAGCGAAAUGCGAUAAGUAAUGUGAAUUGCAGAAUUCAGUGAAUCAUCGAAUCUUUGAACGCACAUUGCGCCCGUUGGUAUUCCGAGGGGCAUGCCUGUUCGAGCGUCAUUAUAACCCCUCAAGCUCAGCUUGGUGUUGGGGCCUGCCGCACGGGCAGCCCUUAAAAUCAGUGGCGGUGCCAUCUGGCUCUAAGCGUAGUAAUUCUUCUCGCUAUAGAGUCCCGGUGGAUGCUUGCCAUUAACCCCCAAUUUUCUAUGGUUGACCUCGGAUCAGGUAGGGAUACCCGCUGAACUUAAGCAUAUCAAUAAGCGGAGGA
RNAcentral lists this unclassified non-coding RNA (328 nucleotides) under soil metagenome. RNAcentral describes it as "partial contains 5.8S ribosomal RNA, internal transcribed spacer 2, and large subunit ribosomal RNA". The stretch from base 1 to 120 matches the Rfam family "5.8S ribosomal RNA", at positions 35 to 154 of the family's 154-position model. The record is from RNAcentral.